Pygocentrus nattereri (red-bellied piranha) is the source of this 261-nucleotide long non-coding RNA. RefSeq lists it as uncharacterized. The record is from RefSeq and is a predicted model, not a curated record. Lineage: Eukaryota; Metazoa; Chordata; Actinopteri; Characiformes; Serrasalmidae. The transcript has 4 exons.
UGCUGUGCAUUUCUUUUGGAUGAAGAGUACGAUUCAGAUCCUGGACACCAAGGAAAGCCCUGUGAACUCUACAUACCAUCAAGUUGGCAUUCACCUGUAUGUGAAUAUUCAGUGAGGGCAUCCGCUUCACCACACUGUCCUGCCCAGAGGGAGCCCUACCUGGACCUGGUUUCUCUUCAGAAAGCGGCAGGGAACUGGGAUUUGGAGGCCAAACUCUUUGACGUGCUUGGCAAGACAGAAAAGGAACUGGCCAAACAGAAG